This 329-nucleotide ribosomal RNA is filed under the name uncultured eukaryote. RNAcentral's name for it is "partial 18S ribosomal RNA". It matches the Rfam family "Eukaryotic small subunit ribosomal RNA", at positions 1470 to 1796 of the family's 1831-position model. The record is from RNAcentral.
CCCUUAGAUGUCCUGGGCCGCACGCGCGCUACACUGAGUGUCUGAGAUACGAGUCUGCCUGGUCCGGCAAGGUCUAGGUAAUCGCUAAAAGACACAUCAUGCUUGGGAUAGAUUAUUGCAAAUAUUAAUCUUGAACGAGGAAUUCCUAGUAAUCGCAAGUCAACAGCUUGCGUUGAUUACGUCCCUGCCCUUUGUACACACCGCCCGUCGCUACUACUGAUUGGAUGUUUAAGCGAGGUUCUCGAACUGCUAGCGACUUAGCUUCGGUGAGGUCGCAGUGUGGGAAGUGAACCUAGCUUUGGUGUCUAGAGGAAGUAAAAGUCGUAACA